RNAcentral lists this ribosomal RNA (253 nucleotides) under uncultured bacterium. Its description in RNAcentral is "partial 16S ribosomal RNA". It matches the Rfam family "Bacterial small subunit ribosomal RNA", at positions 524 to 776 of the family's 1533-position model. The record is from RNAcentral.
UACGUAGGGUGCAAGCGUUGUCCGGAAUUAUUGGGCGUAAAGAGCUCGUAGGCGGUUUGUCGCGUCUGCUGUGAAAACUCGGGGCUUAACCCUGAGCCUGCAGUGAGUACGGGCAGACUAGAGUGUGGUAGGGGAGAUCGGAAUUCCCGGUGUAGCGGUGAAAUGCGCAGAUAUCGGGAGGAACACCAGUAGCGAAGGCGGCACUCUGGGCCGGUACUGACGCUGAGGAGCGAAAGCGUGGGGAGCGAACAGG